AGUGGCGAACGGGUGAGUAACACGUGACCAACNUGCNUCGCACAUCGGGAUAACUGCCGGAAACGGCAGCUAAUACCGGAUACUAUCCCCCUUCCGCAUGGGAGGAGGAUGAAAGCUUUCGCGGUGCGAGAUGGGGUCGCGGCCCAUCAGGUAGUAGGUGGGGCAGCAGCCCACCUAGCCUACGACGGGUAGCCGGACUGAGAGGUCGAUCGGCCACAUUGGGACUGAGAUACGGCCCAGACUCCUACGGGAGGCAGCAGUGGGGAAUAUUGCGCAAUGGGGGAAACCCUGACGCAGCAACGCCGCGUGCGGGAUGAAGGCCUUCGGGUUGUAAACCGCUUUCAGCAGGGAAGACGCAGACGGUACCUGCAGAAGAAGCCCCGGCUAAUUACGUGCCAGCAGCCGCGGUAAUACGUAGGGGGCGAGCGUUAUCCGGAUUCAUUGGGCGUAAAGCGCGCGCAGGCGGACCGUUAAGCGGGACCUCUAAUCCUGGGGCUCAACCUCAGGCCGGGUCCCGAACUGGCGGUCUCGAGUGCGGUAGGGGAGGCCGGAAUUCCCGGUGUAGCGGUGGAAUGCGCAGAUAUCGGGAAGAACACCGAUGGCGAAGGCAGACCUCUGGGCCGACACUGACGCUGAGGCGCGAAAGCUAGGGGAGCGAACAGGAUUAGAUACCCUGGUA
This 679-nucleotide ribosomal RNA is filed under the name uncultured bacterium. Its description in RNAcentral is "bacterial SSU rRNA". It matches the Rfam family "Bacterial small subunit ribosomal RNA", at positions 94 to 792 of the family's 1533-position model. The record is from RNAcentral.